Molecule: transfer RNA, 71 nt
Filed under: Marmota monax (woodchuck)
Lineage: Eukaryota; Metazoa; Chordata; Mammalia; Rodentia; Sciuridae
Description: tRNA.Ala
Rfam family: tRNA
About the family: Transfer RNA (tRNA) molecules are approximately 80 nucleotides in length.
Source: RNAcentral
GGGGUUGUGGCUCAGAGGUAGAGCGCUUGCCUAGCAUGUAUGAGGCACUGGGUUCGAUCCUCAGCACCACA